AAGUCGUAACAAGGUUUCCGUAGGUGAACCUGCGGAAGGAUCAUUAACACGUAUCCAAACGUUAAAACAACCCUGUGAACCUUCAGCGUGUUCUUGCAGGACAUCAAAACAGCAAUCCCGAGUAAAUCAGGCGCUAAAGAAUUACAGAUUUUGAUUUUGGGAAGUUCUGUGUGUACGUGGACGCUGCAAUUGAGCGCUAGAUAAAGCACCCUGGUACCCUAGAGCACUCCCCUGUCUGAAAGCGGCAGGCGACCGGGGUGGAGGCGAAAGCCCCUAUGUCAUCCCAUGUAUCCUCCGGGACUUGAAGCUGACUCCGUCAUAAAUCGAACAACUGUUAACAAUGGAUAUCUUGGUUCUC
RNAcentral lists this unclassified non-coding RNA (358 nucleotides) under fungal sp. Its description in RNAcentral is "partial internal transcribed spacer region". The stretch from base 1 to 46 matches the Rfam family "Eukaryotic small subunit ribosomal RNA", at positions 1786 to 1831 of the family's 1831-position model. The record is from RNAcentral. Lineage: Eukaryota; Fungi.